This 467-nucleotide ribosomal RNA is filed under the name uncultured bacterium. RNAcentral describes it as "partial 16S ribosomal RNA". It matches the Rfam family "Bacterial small subunit ribosomal RNA", at positions 28 to 506 of the family's 1533-position model. The record is from RNAcentral.
GACGAACGCUGGCGGCGUGCUUAACACAUGCAAGUCGAACGGAAAGGCCCUGCUUUUGUGGGGUGCUCGAGUGGCGAACGGGUGAGUAACACGUGAGUAACCUGCCCUUGACUUUGGGAUAACUUCAGGAAACUGGGGCUAAUACCGGAUAGGAGCUCCUGCUGCAUGGUGGGGGUUGGAAAGUUUCGGCGGUUGGGGAUGGACUCGCGGCUUAUCAGCUUGUUGGUGGGGUAGUGGCUUACCAAGGCUUUGACGGGUAGCCGGCCUGAGAGGGUGACCGGCCACAUUGGGACUGAGAUACGGCCCAGACUCCUACGGGAGUCAGCAGUGGGGAAUAUUGCACAAUGGGCGGAAGCCGGAUGCAGCAACGCCGCGUGCGGGAUGACGGCCUUCGGGUUGUAAACCGCUUUCGCCUGUGACGAAGCGUGAGUGACGGUAAUGGGUAAAGAAGCACCGGCUAACUACGU